UACGUAGGUGGCGAGCGUUAUCCGGAAUUAUUGGGCGUAAAGCGUCCGCAGCCGGUAUUGUAAGUCUAGAAUGAAAGCCUGGGGCUCAGCCCCAGAUUGUUAUAGAAACUGCAAGACUCGAGUGUGGUAGAGGCAAAUGGAAUUUCUAGUGUAGCGGUAAAAUGCGUAGAUAUUAGAAGGAACACCAGUGGCGAAGGCGAUUUGCUGGGCCAUAACUGACGGUCAGGGACGAAAGCGUGGGGAGCAAAUA
This 250-nucleotide ribosomal RNA is filed under the name uncultured prokaryote. RNAcentral describes it as "partial 16S ribosomal RNA". It matches the Rfam family "Bacterial small subunit ribosomal RNA", at positions 524 to 774 of the family's 1533-position model. The record is from RNAcentral.